Molecule: long non-coding RNA, 791 nt
Organism: Oryzias melastigma (Indian medaka)
Lineage: Eukaryota; Metazoa; Chordata; Actinopteri; Beloniformes; Adrianichthyidae
Exons: 2
Source: RefSeq, a predicted model, not a curated record
CCAGGUGCAAUUUUGUACUGCAUAGAUGUUUUAGUUUCGUCGGCUAAGUUUUAUUUAGUUAUAAGUAGUUAUAAAUUUUGAGCGGCACUUGAACGCACCAGCAGGUUCCCAGAAUCCCUAUGUGAAGCAUCUAGCCCAACAGCCAAUCAGAAACGUAGUUGGCCGAGCAAGUUCCGCAACACAGACACUGCUCGUGGUUUUUGCCGCCAUUGGCCUUUCCUUUUGGACCGCGACGAAGGAUGGUUGACUGCUGAGCAAGCUGAAGACGAGCAAGCAGAACGCGAGCGAGCGGACCUUGGAGGAGGAGGACAGUGUGAUUCGGCGCGAAUUGCAGGAGGCAAGGAGCCACCACAACACACCGGUGGUGCCGUUACCGCGGACAGCAGACGGCUAAGAGAGGUCUCCACGAGGGCCGGGUGGUUCGGUUUCGUUCCCAGCCGCCAUUACGGGAGUUUCGACGAGUGGCGAGGUCGACACCCUCAGUUUCAGAGCAGAACAACGGUCAGGUUUUUUUGGUGGACCAGAACUUCGAGAAGAAGAUUGAAGAUCCAUCAGAUGGCGAGCCAGAGAGUCCACGGAUAAAGAUACCCACAUUGCACGUACAUUCCGACUACAACAGGUGCACCUGCAACAAUUCAAAUAUUUAUUUAUUUUUUUGGGCCCCACCGAACAAUAUUUUUUUUUCUGAGUGCGCACUCGUUACAAUUUUUGUUUUAAUGUGUUAUGGUUGUUUACAAAUUUGUUUAUUGUUUCUGUAAUGGGAAAAAUAUAUGAGGUGUUACUCAACCGUU